Molecule: ribosomal RNA, 254 nt
Filed under: uncultured prokaryote
Description: partial 16S ribosomal RNA
Rfam family: Bacterial small subunit ribosomal RNA
Source: RNAcentral
ACAGAGGGCGCGAGCGUUGUUCGGAAUUACUGGGCGUAAAGCGCACGCAGGCGGCCCUUUAAGUCCACUGGUGAAAGACCGGGGCUCAACCCCGUGUCAGCCAGGGAUACUGGAGGGCUGGAGACACGUAGAGGCAGACGGAAUUCCGGGUGUAGCGGUGGAAUGCGUAGAGAUCCGGAGGAAGACCGGUGGCGAAGGCGGUCUGCUGGGCAGUUUCUGACACUGAGGCGCGACAGCGUGGGGAGCAAACAGGA